GGCACUGUAGCGCAAUGGAUAGCGCGUUGGACUUCUAAUCAAAAGUUGGGGUUCGAAUCCCCUGGGAUGGCCU
Molecule: transfer RNA, 73 nt
Filed under: Trichonephila clavata
Lineage: Eukaryota; Metazoa; Arthropoda; Arachnida; Araneae; Nephilidae
Description: tRNA-Arg
Rfam family: tRNA (bases 5-65)
About the family: Transfer RNA (tRNA) molecules are approximately 80 nucleotides in length. Their secondary structure includes four short double-helical elements and three loops (D, anti-codon, and T loops).
Source: RNAcentral